This 301-nucleotide ribosomal RNA is filed under the name uncultured bacterium. Its description in RNAcentral is "partial 16S ribosomal RNA". It matches the Rfam family "Bacterial small subunit ribosomal RNA", at positions 509 to 809 of the family's 1533-position model. The record is from RNAcentral.
CAGUAGCCGCGGUAAUACAGAGGGUGCGAGCGUUAAUCGGAUUUACUGGGCGUAAAGCGUGCGUAGGCGGCUUCUUAAGUCGGAUGUGAAAUCCCUGAGAUUAACUUAGGAAUUGCAUUCGAUACUGGGAAGCUAGAGUAUGGGAGAGGAUGGUAGAAUUCCAGGUGUAGCGGUGAAAUGCGUAGAGAUCUGGAGGAAUACCGAUGGCGAAGGCAGCCAUCUGGCCUAAUACUGACGCUGAGGUACGAAAGCAUGGGGAGCAAACAGGAUUAGAUACCCCAGUAGUCCCUGUCUCUUAUAA